RNAcentral lists this ribosomal RNA (230 nucleotides) under uncultured bacterium. Its description in RNAcentral is "partial 16S ribosomal RNA". It matches the Rfam family "Bacterial small subunit ribosomal RNA", at positions 118 to 347 of the family's 1533-position model. The record is from RNAcentral.
UGAGCAAUCUGCCCUUCUCUUCGGAAUAAGCGUUGGAAACGACGUCUAAUGCCGAAUACGACCUCCUUUCGCAUGAUCGGAGGUGGAAAGCUCCGGCGGAGAAGGAUGAGCUCGCGGCCUAUCAGCUUGUUGGUGGGGUAACGCCUACCAAGGCGACGACGGGUAGCUGGUCUGAGAGGAUGGCCAGCCACAUUGGGACUGAGACACGGCCCAGACUCCUACGGGAGCAG